Myotis brandtii (Brandt's bat) is the source of this 75-nucleotide non-coding RNA. NCBI's taxonomy places the organism in Eukaryota, Metazoa, Chordata, Mammalia, Chiroptera, Vespertilionidae. The record is from Rfam.
GGCAGUUCUCAGGUGAUGCACCCCAGAAUCAGCUCCCUCCUCUCUCGUUCCGAGGUGCGUCACCUGAGAACCGCU